Molecule: ribosomal RNA, 440 nt
Filed under: uncultured bacterium
Lineage: Bacteria
Description: bacterial SSU rRNA
Rfam family: Bacterial small subunit ribosomal RNA
Source: RNAcentral
CUACGGGAGGCAGCAGUGGGGAAUAUUGGACAAUGGGCGAAAGCCUGAUCCAGCCAUGCCGCGUGAGUGAUGAAGGCCUUAGGGUUGUAAAGCUCUUUCAGUAGGGAAGAUAAUGACGGUACCUACAGAAGAAGCCCCGGUUAACUUCGUGCCAGCAGCCGCGGUAAUACGAAGGGGGCUAGCGUUGUUCGGAUUUACUGGGCGUAAAGCGCACGUAGGCGGAUCGUUAAGUCGGGGGUGAAAUCCUGGAGCUCAACUCCAGAACUGCCUUCGAUACUGGCGAUCUUGAGUCCGGAAGAGGUGAGUGGAACUCCUAGUGUAGAGGUGGAAUUCGUAGAUAUUAGGAAGAACACCAGUGGCGAAGGCGGCUCACUGGUCCGGUACUGACGCUGAGGUGCGAAAGCGUGGGGAGCAAACAGGAUUAGAAACCCUGGUAGUCC